GAAAUGCGAUAAGUAAUGUGAAUUGCAGAAUUCAGUGAAUCAUCGAAUCUUUGAACGCACAUUGCGCCCUGUGGUAUUCCGCAGGGCAUGCCUGUUCGAGCGUCAUUUAACCACUCACGCCUAGCGUGGUAUUGGGGCACGCGGUCUCCGCGGCCCUCAAAAUUAGUGGCGGUGCCGGUGGGCUCUGAGCGUAGUACAUACUCCCGCUAUAGAGUUCCCCCCGGUGGCUUGCCAGAACCCCCAAUUUUUACAGGUUGACCUCGGAUCAGGUAGGGAUACCCGCUGAACUUAA
RNAcentral lists this unclassified non-coding RNA (292 nucleotides) under uncultured Ascomycota. Its description in RNAcentral is "sequence contains ITS1". The stretch from base 1 to 105 matches the Rfam family "5.8S ribosomal RNA", at positions 50 to 154 of the family's 154-position model. Lineage: Eukaryota; Fungi; Ascomycota. The record is from RNAcentral.